CAGUAGCCACGGUAAUACGUAGGGUGCGAGCGUUAAUCGGAAUUAUUGGGCGUAAAGGACUCGCAGGCGGUUUCUUAAGUCUGAUGUGAAAGCCCCCGGCUCAACCGGGGAGGGUCAUUGGAAACUGGGAAACUUGAGUGCAGAAGAUGGGAGUGGAAUUCCACGUGUAGCGGUGAAAUGCGUAGAGAUGUGGAGGAACACCAGUGGCGAAGGCGACUCUCUGGUCUGUAACUGACGCUGAGGAGCGAAAGCGUGGGGAGCGAACAGGAUUAGAUACCCCAGUAGUCCCUGUCUCUUAUAC
This 301-nucleotide ribosomal RNA is filed under the name uncultured bacterium. RNAcentral's name for it is "partial 16S ribosomal RNA". It matches the Rfam family "Bacterial small subunit ribosomal RNA", at positions 509 to 807 of the family's 1533-position model. The record is from RNAcentral.